RNAcentral lists this long non-coding RNA (868 nucleotides) under Salvia miltiorrhiza (redroot sage). Its description in RNAcentral is "long non-coding RNA (SMIL_LNC004674)". The record is from RNAcentral. Lineage: Eukaryota; Viridiplantae; Streptophyta; Magnoliopsida; Lamiales; Lamiaceae.
UCCCUUGUUGUUCGGCUUCCCUACAAAAAGCAUUAAAAAAUUACUACAAUGGUUAAAAAACAAAAAAAAGGACAGACCUCACCACAAUUUGUACGAAUUCACACCAAAGAAUAAUAACAACAUUCAACAAGAUACUAUGCCAAACAAUUCGCAUCCUAGCCAGUAAAAAAUCGUCACCUUUGUUUGAAGCAAUACUACCCUCACACACUGUCGAUCCGUCAAUUAUAGCUUUCCCCUUGUCCUUUUUAGUACCAUUACCUUGAGAUUUACAGUUUACACAAAUGGUUACAACACUAACAAGUGAAAUAAAUAAAGAAGAAAUACAAAAAAUUCGUUCAAAAUACAACAAGUUAUCCAAAAAAAAUAGCGACCCACUCGCGAAUAUACAAGGUCGAAUAUUUCAAUGAAGCUCAAAUUUUGAAGGGGUUAACACACACGCGAUAAUCGAUGGUCAACGAGCACAAAACAUUGACUAAUUAUCCGACACUAGUCUAUUUCCAUCCCCACAUAUGCAUUUUUUAAAAGCAAAGAUCCGAAAACAACAAAUAGGAACCACCAAAAAUCAAUUUUUGUUUAACUCCACCCAAAAAAUCAAUGUUCGUACAACCUCCCCACCCAAAAAAUGCAUAAUACUUUCAUUCAUAUUUAAGAAUCAAUAAACAUGAAAUGCCCAAAAAUUCACAUGAAAUACAAUGACCUUUCAUAUUAAAUCUCACCGGUCCGACUACCCUUAGUUCGUGCCAUCGCUGGAACAGCGUAAACGAUGCAAAAACGGCCGAAAAUAGGGUUAGCUUGAUCAGCGCCGCCUCAACUCUUCCGUCGUCCCCUUUUUUCCGCACUUUUUGAGAGAUAGUGAAUAGGUUCAGAU